RNAcentral lists this non-coding RNA (24 nucleotides) under Arabidopsis thaliana (thale cress). The record is from RNAcentral. Lineage: Eukaryota; Viridiplantae; Streptophyta; Magnoliopsida; Brassicales; Brassicaceae.
UGGAAUAGCCGAUGGCUCUAUCUC